RNAcentral lists this ribosomal RNA (401 nucleotides) under Lepidophthalmus rosae. RNAcentral describes it as "partial 12S ribosomal RNA". It matches the Rfam family "Microsporidia small subunit ribosomal RNA", at positions 752 to 1280 of the family's 1311-position model. Lineage: Eukaryota; Metazoa; Arthropoda; Malacostraca; Decapoda; Callianassidae. The record is from RNAcentral.
UUUAGGCAACCCCAAAAAACCAAGAUACUAAAAGCUAUGUUCUUCAAACCUAAAGGAUUUGGCGGUAAUUUAGUCCAGUUAGAGGAACCUGUUUGGUAAACGAUAAACCACGAAGAAUCUUGCCUGUUUUCAAAGUUUGUAUACCGUCAUUAUUAGAUAACUUUCUAUGAAAAAGUUAUUCCAAUAAAUUUUAUUUAAUAUAUUAGAUCAAGGUGCAGCCCAUAAACAGGUCUUAAUGGGUUACAAUAAAACUUACUUACUACGAAUACAAAAUAGAACUAUUUUGUUGAAGGAGGAUUUAAUAGUAAAAUUGGUUUAAUAAGCCUUUUUGAUAGUGGAUCUAAAUUGAGUACAUAUCGCCCGUCGCUUUCAUCCUAGAAAUGAAAUAAGUCGUAACAUAG